Long non-coding RNA from Macaca mulatta (Rhesus monkey), 1883 nucleotides. Lineage: Eukaryota; Metazoa; Chordata; Mammalia; Primates; Cercopithecidae. The record is from Ensembl.
AUAUUUGCACUGUGUCCUAGAGAGCCUCUAUGCAUUUCAACUCCGAUUUGCCUUCACCAUCUACCUGCAGCCCACAACCGCAGGACCCCGCCCCUGGCCCUGAAUCUUCCGUGUCCUGGUGCCAAGCAGGCCUGGCCAGCCCUGUGGCUCCUUGGAGGAAUCUGGGUGCCUCCUGUCCUGACUAUCUGACAAGCCCCAGGUGAGAAGGCCUGAGUUCACCUGUGCUGCCACUUGUAACCUGAUGGCCUCGGCACCCUCACAGGGUUCGAAUAGCUGCCCUUUCCACCUGUUUCCCAGAUUUUCCAUACCACCCAGAGGCUCAUAUUCGACACCACAGCCUACAAGUCAACCAGGGCCUUUGGCCACAUGUACUGAUGAUGAGAAUCACUAGACUGUAAGCUGCAAAAGGGCAAGGACGGUGUUUUGUUUCCUGCUACCCCCUGCACCUGAGGCCUAGCAAGGAUUGCUGCUCGGAUGAAGGAGAGUGAGUGUUUGUGGAACUCUUUGCAAAAGCCAUGGGAAGACCUUCCUGUGCCUUCUCAGGUUCAGUUCUCAGACAGCCCCCGCCUUUCCAGAUGAGGAAACAGAGUCUAAGAAAGGAGAAUAAAAUUGUCCAGGGUUACAGGAAAGCAGUGAGGCUGGGAUUUGAACCCCAGCCUGUUGGACUCAACACUUCCUCUGAAAAGAUGGGAAAAGUGGGCUGCCUCCUUCUGGCUUCGGGAACUGGCAGAGAGGAGCAGAGCUGGGCUGGACACGUUACCUCCCCAGCUCUGCAGCACCCAUGGGUUCCCAGGGUCCUCUUCCUCCGUUUGGCCCUUUUCUUCUCCGGACCCUCCAACCUUCGAGGACUGGACUCCUAGCAGGGAGCACAGAGCAGAGAACAGAGGAAGCCCAUCUGAGGAGAGCAUUCUGGAGCAGAUGGGGCACACAGAGAGCCCCCAAACCUGAGCCUCACCUGGAGAGUGGCUCCCUGCAAGCUGAGCCAGGGCCCUGGGACACUGACUGAGGGCAGAGCAUGCCUCUCCGAUUUGCUGGGCAGGAGGCUAAUUGGGCUAAAUGGGUUUUGUUGAUGGUGACUCUUUGUUCCCCCAUGGCGGCUCCAUCUGAGGAGUGUUUUGGAGGCUGUUCAUUCUCCCUGCUUCCCCUGCUUGCUGCUGCCCCAGAGGCAAGGAGAGCAGCCUCCCAGUGGCCUGCUGGUUUGUAAAAGAGUCAGGUGUGGGAGGUUGCAUCACGUGCUCCUCUGGACUCAUGGUCUGCAUGGACAUAUGACAAGUGUGGCUGUAGGUCGAUGAGCCGUGUGCGGCUUGGUAAUGGACAGUGGAUGGGCCAGCGGGAGCAGCAGGUGACUCGGGCCCCAGGGAUGAACAUGGGGGAGCUGGGUCUGAUAUAGGCAGGAAGGAGACGUCAGCAGCAGUAGCCCCGGAGUUGGGGGGAGCCAGAGACAAGGCAGAGAUGCCUGGAUGAUCUGUUCUGCAGAAAUAACAACCACAAAUCCAGGGCUGGACCUGGCUGUGACCUGGCCUGGCCAGGGGUGGUGAGCAGCAGGUGUGCUGAUUGCACUUAGGAAGGGCAUCGGGGUGGGGCGCAGUGGCUCACACCUGUAAUCCCAGCACUUAGGAGGCUGAGGUGGGUGGAUCACGAGAUCAAGAGUUCCAGACCAGCCUGGCCAACAUAGUGAAACGCUGUCUCUACUAAAAAUACAAAAAUUAGCCUGGUGUGGUGGCAUGUGCCUGUAGUCCCAGCUACUCGGGAGGCUGAGGCAGGAGAAUCGCUUGAACCCGGGAGGCAGAAGUUGCAGUGAACUGAGACUGCGCCAUUGCACUCUAGCCUGGGCAACAGAGCAAGACUCCAUCUCAAAAAAAAAAAAAAAAAAAGAAAAAAAA